CCUAGCUGGAUAAGGGAGCCGCUGUGAGCCAAGAACAUUGAUCAUUGCAGGGACGCCUCGUUCCAGUGCAAACCACACCUGUGCUUCGUGCGUGUCUCUCGGAGCAAAAGACAUUGCGAUUAUAUCCCUCUUCAGCAGCCUGUAUCAAGAGCGGUCCGGAUGGAUCCGUCCUUGAGGGGGAUGAGGGCAGCAAUGUCAUCAAUGUAAGCAUCAGCGCCACGCGGGAACAUAGUCCCUCCACCUGGGAAUCUAAAGCGAUCGCCCUCGACUUGGAUCCAAUUCUGGUUAGCCUUCUCAAUGCUGAGCUCCUUGUGAGGGAUGUUGCCAAUCCACGCGUAGUCCCUGCUCUGCGGCCACUUGAAAGGCGCCUUGUAACGGUCCGGAGCAGGGAUGAGGCAUCGAAGGAGCUCGUCCUUGGUGGGGCAAUGCCUCUCCCGGUACUUGAGCAUGUCGCGAUCAAACUGCCUCCCCCUCUGGCGAUCAUUGCACGGGGUGUACUCGCUGUACUUCAUGUCGCAGGGGGGGAACGUCUCGGCCUGCUCGGACGUGUUGAUGACCAGCUGGUGGUGGCUCUCGAAGUCGAGGGUGUCGGAGACCAAGGGGGAGUCCGACGAGGAGGGGGAGUCGGAGUCCCCCUUGGUGGCCGGGGUGUCGUCGCAGCCGACACGGGACGAGAACUGGGAGCCGGGGGGGGGGACGCUGCGGCCCUGCCAAGCGCCUAAAGCGUAGAAGAUGACACAGAGACAACUGACGCCUAAGAUGUAAGUGAUGCGUUUUCGCCUCAUGUUCAGCUGAUGAGGCUUUGGGGAUCCGUUAUACUCCUUCCCCAUUUAUACCAAUCUAGCUCUACACAUUACACAACAAAGGCCAUAUUCUUCUUGUUUAACAAAUUAUGUUUCUAUUUAACCAUUUUUAGCAAUUUGUUUGCUUCAAUUUGUUAAUUGAAUGGAUCUGCAGAUAGACAUACCUUUGGUCUCCUUCCAGAGUGUUAUUGAUGAGCUAUUGCAGCCCCUAUUGCCUAUGCAUGAACAAAAGGUGAAAUUCCAUUUAUAAA
Molecule: non-coding RNA, 1054 nt
Organism: Salvia hispanica
Lineage: Eukaryota; Viridiplantae; Streptophyta; Magnoliopsida; Lamiales; Lamiaceae
Source: RefSeq, a predicted model, not a curated record